Molecule: ribosomal RNA, 502 nt
Filed under: uncultured bacterium
Lineage: Bacteria
Description: bacterial SSU rRNA
Rfam family: Bacterial small subunit ribosomal RNA
Source: RNAcentral
AAUGAACGCUGGCGGCGUGCUUAACACAUGCAAGUCGAGCGAGAACGUCGACUUCGGUUGACUAGUAAAGCGGCGAACGGGUGAGUAACACGUGGGCAACCUGUCUUGGAGUGGGGGAUAACCUGGGGAAACUCGGGCUAAUACCGCAUAUGUUCUCAGCGCUUCGGUGCUGCGAGGAAAGCCGGCCAAUUCUUGAAAGCUGGCGCUCUUUGAGGGGCCCGCGUCCGAUUAGCUUGUUGGUGGGGUAACGGCCCACCAAGGCUGCGAUCGGUAGCCGGCCUGAGAGGGUGAUCGGCCACACUGGGACUGAGACACGGCCCAGACUCCUACGGGAGGCAGCAGUGGGGAAUAUUGGACAAUGGGCGCAAGCCUGAUCCAGCAACGCCGCGUGGAGGACGAAGGCCUUCGGGUCGUAAACUCCUGUCAGUUGGGACGAAAAGCUAUCGGUCAAUAGCCGAUAGUCAUGACGGUACCAGCAGAGGAAGCCCCGGCUAACUCCGUG